UGGCGGACGGGUGAGUAACGCGUGGGUAACCUGCCUUAUACAGGGGGAUAACAGUCAGAAAUGGCUGCUAAUACCGCAUAAGCGCACAGGGCUGCAUGGCUCAGUGUGAAAAACUCCGGUGGUAUAAGAUGGACCCGCGUUGGAUUAGCUAGUUGGUGGGGUAACGGCCCACCAAGGCGACGAUCCAUAGCCGGCCUGAGAGGGUGAACGGCCACAUUGGGACUGAGACACGGCCCAGACUCCUACGGGAGGCAGCAUG
RNAcentral lists this ribosomal RNA (259 nucleotides) under uncultured bacterium. RNAcentral's name for it is "partial 16S ribosomal RNA". It matches the Rfam family "Bacterial small subunit ribosomal RNA", at positions 96 to 353 of the family's 1533-position model. The record is from RNAcentral.